RNAcentral lists this ribosomal RNA (497 nucleotides) under uncultured bacterium. RNAcentral describes it as "partial 16S ribosomal RNA". It matches the Rfam family "Bacterial small subunit ribosomal RNA", at positions 28 to 507 of the family's 1533-position model. The record is from RNAcentral.
GACGAACGCUGGCGGCGUGCCUAAUACAUGCAAGUUGAGCGCUGAAGGUUGGUACUUGUACCAACUGGAUGAGCAGCGAACGGGUGAGUAACGCGUGGGGAAUCUGCCUUUGAGCGGGGGACAACAUUUGGAAACGAAUGCUAAUACCGCAUAAAAACUUUAAACACAAGUUUUAAGUUUGAAAGAUGCAAUUGCAUCACUCAAAGAUGAUCCCGCGUUGUAUUAGCUAGUUGGUGAGGUAAAGGCUCACCAAGGCGAUGAUACAUAGCCGACCUGCGAGGGUGAUCGGCCACAUUGGGACUGAGACACGGCCCAAACUCCUACGGGAGGCAGCAGUAGGGAAUCUUCGGCAAUGGACGAAAGUCUGACCGAGCAACGCCGCGUGAGUGAAGAAGGUUGUCGGAUCGUAAAACUCUGUUGGUAGAGAAGAACGUUGGUGAGAGUGGAAAGCUCAUCAAGUGACGGUAACUACCCAGAAAGGGACGGCUAACUACGUG